UACGUAGGGUGCAAGCGUUGUCCGGAUUUAUUGGGCGUAAAGAGCUCGUAGGUGGCGGGUCACGUCGGGUGUGAAAGCCCGGGGCUUAACCCCGGGUCUGCAUUCGAUACGGGUCUGCUGGGGUCCGGCAGGGGAGACUGGAAUUCCUGGUGUAGCGGUGAAAUGCGCAGAUAUCAGGAGGAACACCUGUGGCGAAAGCGGCUCACUGGACCAUUACUGACACUGAGGCACGAAAGCUAGGGGAGCAAACAGG
This 253-nucleotide ribosomal RNA is filed under the name uncultured bacterium. RNAcentral describes it as "partial 16S ribosomal RNA". It matches the Rfam family "Bacterial small subunit ribosomal RNA", at positions 524 to 776 of the family's 1533-position model. The record is from RNAcentral.